This 72-nucleotide transfer RNA is filed under the name Brachymeles elerae. RNAcentral's name for it is "tRNA-Trp". It matches the Rfam family "tRNA". From Rfam's summary of the family: Transfer RNA (tRNA) molecules are approximately 80 nucleotides in length. Their secondary structure includes four short double-helical elements and three loops (D, anti-codon, and T loops). Further hydrogen bonds mediate the characteristic L-shaped molecular structure. tRNAs have two regions of fundamental functional importance: the anti-codon, which is responsible for specific mRNA codon recognition, and the 3' end, to which the tRNAs corresponding amino acid is attached (by aminoacyl-tRNA synthetases). tRNAs cope with the degeneracy of the genetic code in two manners: having more than one tRNA (with a specific anti-codon) for a particular amino acid; and 'wobble' base-pairing, i.e. permitting non-standard base-pairing at the 3rd anti-codon position. The record is from RNAcentral. Lineage: Eukaryota; Metazoa; Chordata; Lepidosauria; Squamata; Scincidae.
AGAAACUUAGGUUAGCCAUUAAACCACGGACCUUCAAAGCCCGAAACAGCGGUUAAACUCCACUAGUUUCUG